RNAcentral lists this ribosomal RNA (606 nucleotides) under uncultured fungus. RNAcentral describes it as "eukaryotic LSU rRNA". It matches the Rfam family "Eukaryotic large subunit ribosomal RNA", at positions 23 to 641 of the family's 3401-position model. The record is from RNAcentral. Lineage: Eukaryota; Fungi.
ACCCGCUGAACUUAAGCAUAUCAAUAAGCGGAGGAAAAGAAACCAACAGGGAUUGCCUUAGUAACGGCGAGUGAAGCGGCAAAAGCUCAGAUUUGAAAUCUAGCGUCUUAUAGGCGUUCGAGUUGUAAUCUGUAGAGAAGUUAUCGAGUGUGGAUUUGGCUUAAGUUCUUUGGAACAGGACGUCAUAGAGGGUGAGAACCCCGUAUACGGCCUUUGUCUUAUACUCAUGUGAGGCUUCUUCAACGAGUCGAGUUGUUUGGGAAUGCAGCUCUAAAUGGGUGGUAAAUUCCAUCUAAAGCUAAAUACUGGCAAGAGACCGAUAGCGCACAAGUAGAGUGAUCGAAAGAUGAAAAGAACUCUGAACAGAGAGUUAAAUAGUACGUGAAAUUGUUGAAAGGGAAGCACUUGCUACCAGACUCGCUUGCAGUUAAUCAACUAUCCUUCUGGGUGGUGCACUUUUCUGUAGGCGGGCCAGCAUCAGUUGUGUUGGUGGGAUAAAGGCAGUUGGAAUGUGGCUCUCUUCGGAGAGUGUUAUAGACUUCUGUGUAAUACCAUCUAACGCGACUGAGGUCAGCGCUUCGGCGAGGAUGCUGGCAUAAUGGUCGU